RNAcentral lists this ribosomal RNA (1262 nucleotides) under Plantibacter sp. St26-55. RNAcentral describes it as "bacterial SSU rRNA". It matches the Rfam family "Bacterial small subunit ribosomal RNA", at positions 75 to 1349 of the family's 1533-position model. The record is from RNAcentral. Lineage: Bacteria; Bacillati; Actinomycetota; Actinomycetes; Micrococcales; Microbacteriaceae.
GGAGCUUGCUCUUGGGGAUUAGUGGCGAACGGGUGAGUAACACGUGAGUAACCUGCCCUUGACUCUGGGAUAAGCGUUGGAAACGACGUCUAAUACCGGAUACGAGCUUCCACCGCAUGGUGAGUUGCUGGAAAGAAUUUUGGUCAAGGAUGGACUCGCGGCCUAUCAGCUUGUUGGUGAGGUAAUGGCUCACCAAGGCGACGACGGGUAGCCGGCCUGAGAGGGUGACCGGCCACACUGGGACUGAGACACGGCCCAGACUCCUACGGGAGGCAGCAGUGGGGAAUAUUGCACAAUGGGCGAAAGCCUGAUGCAGCAACGCCGCGUGAGGGACGACGGCCUUCGGGUUGUAAACCUCUUUUAGCAGGGAAGAAGCGAAAGUGACGGUACCUGCAGAAAAAGCACCGGCUAACUACGUGCCAGCAGCCGCGGUAAUACGUAGGGUGCAAGCGUUGUCCGGAAUUAUUGGGCGUAAAGAGCUCGUAGGCGGUUUGUCGCGUCUGCUGUGAAAUCCCGAGGCUCAACCUCGGGUCUGCAGUGGGUACGGGCAGACUAGAGUGCGGUAGGGGAGAUUGGAAUUCCUGGUGUAGCGGUGGAAUGCGCAGAUAUCAGGAGGAACACCGAUGGCGAAGGCAGAUCUCUGGGCCGCUACUGACGCUGAGGAGCGAAAGGGUGGGGAGCAAACAGGCUUANAUACCCUGGUANUCCACCCCGUAAACGUUGGGCGCUAGAUGUGGGGACCAUUCCACGGUUUCCGUGUCGUAGCUAACGCAUUAAGCGCCCCGCCUGGGGAGUACGGCCGCAAGGCUAAAACUCAAAGGAAUUGACGGGGGCCCGCACAAGCGGCGGAGCAUGCGGAUUAAUUCGAUGCAACGCGAAGAACCUUACCAAGGCUUGACAUAUACGAGAACGGGCCAGAAAUGGUCAACUCUUUGGACACUCGUAAACAGGUGGUGCAUGGUUGUCGUCAGCUCGUGUCGUGAGAUGUUGGGUUAAGUCCCGCAACGAGCGCAACCCUCGUUCUAUGUUGCCAGCACGUUAUGGUGGGAACUCAUGGGAUACUGCCGGGGUCAACUCGGAGGAAGGUGGGGACGACGUCAAAUCAUCAUGCCCCUUAUGUCUUGGGCUUCACGCAUGCUACAAUGGCCAGUACAAAGGGCUGCAAUACCGUAAGGUGGAGCGAAUCCCAAAAAGCUGGUCCCAGUUCGGAUUGAGGUCUGCAACUCGACCUCAUGAAGUCGGAGUCGCUAGUAAUCGCAGAU